GAGAGUCAAAGAGACCGCAAAACCGUUGGGAGGGAAACGAAUGUGGCCAUGAAGGCUCCUUUCAGGUUCAGGGUGGCCUCGGUUCGGGGCUUGCGCUGUGUGGGGACCCGUAUUCGGGCCCGGCCAACGCAAGUUCCAUCGAGGUUCCUGCAUUCUCGUUUGGAGUCCACCAACGGCGGCCGUUCCCGGUGGAGAAGGGUCGUAGGGUCAGGUGCCUCUUCCUCGCCCUUUGCGGGGCUGUGGAGGAGAGCUUACAGCCUUCGGCUUGGAGACCGGGGGCGGCCGGGGAAUGUUGCGACAUUUCGCACGGCGUAGUGCAGGCUCCGUGGGGGCCGGGUCGCUUCUGGAGUUGCGUGCUUCGCGGCGAACCACUGCUUGCAGUGGCCGCUGACGGUAAGUGUGCUUGUCUGGGAGGCGGACCACGAUGUUGCGCUUAAGUCGUUGGUGGGGGUAUGGGUCC
RNAcentral lists this ribosomal RNA (460 nucleotides) under Hymeraphia stellifera. RNAcentral's name for it is "partial 28S ribosomal RNA". Lineage: Eukaryota; Metazoa; Porifera; Demospongiae; Axinellida; Raspailiidae. The record is from RNAcentral.